RNAcentral lists this long non-coding RNA (1955 nucleotides) under Ricinus communis (castor bean). RNAcentral describes it as "long non-coding RNA (RCOM_LNC001966)". The record is from RNAcentral. Lineage: Eukaryota; Viridiplantae; Streptophyta; Magnoliopsida; Malpighiales; Euphorbiaceae.
AAAAAAAACAAAACAAAGUUUAAGCAAUUUAUUUAUUUAUUUAUUAUUGAAUUGAGAGAACAAACAGAAAUGCUGGAUUCGCUGAGAAUCCUAAAUGUCGGGCUAAGGACAGCUUAAUUUAACGGGAGAUGGGCGUUCCUUUUUGCUGUUAUUUUGUGGGAGCUUUAGAAAUGGAGGAAGGAGAGGUUGUUUGACCCAAAACACAUGCCUACUCAGGCUAAGUUUCAUUUUCUUAAACAUUAUGAAUAUCAGACUGACAAAGUGUUGUUUUCGAAUGCCUCUUUAUGCUUAUCAUCUGGUUGGCUGGGCUGCUCCUCCAAAUUUGGAUGGUUGCUCUAACGGCAAUCCAAGUAGUGCUGGAGGAUGGAUUCUGCAAUGAAUAUUGACUGCGUUAGAGAUUCUAUAUCACUAAAGAAUAAAAAAGGCAAAUAAUUUUUAUUAUAAGAACUCAAUCAACCAAGUAGCUAGUUCUAAUAAUUUUAGAAAUGAUUGGAUCCAAAUUCCAUUCCAUUAAUUGAGCUUAAUACUCACCCAUACUAUCCUAAUUUGGUUAAAAUUUAUAAGUAGUUGAUGCAGAAUCUGUGUUUGGCAUAUCCAAAAAGGAGAUUAUAGAACUGAGAUCCUCAAGAAGCAUAAUUGCCAACACAAGAUAGUUGGGUAGGAUUUGAGUGGCUGUGUUGAUUGAAAUUAGGCCAUUAUAAUUGGAAGGAUUACUAGGAGAUAACUGGAGGCUCAGAAGUGGUGGAUUUAGAGGUGGGUGUUGCUGUUUCCGUUGAAUGGAUGAAGAAUUAUGAGUGGGACAGUGGAAAAAUAAAUUGGUAGGUUGCAUUUGAAAGGAGAUAAAAAAAGAAUACAAAAAUAAACGAGAUUAACGUUUUUUUUUUUUUUCUCUAUUGAUUGUUUUGAUUUACAAUAGACAUACGUGUUUAGAUAUUUAUAAGUGAAUGAGAUUUUUAUUUUUUUAGAAGAAAAUUUAGGUUCCUGUUAUGGAAUCAAUAUACUAACUAACAAUUUGAUGAGAAAUUCUUAUCUAAACUUAGUGUAUAUACCAUAAUUAAUAGCAGAGUGACAUGUGUAUAAGUUUUUUACACUUUGAUAUUGGAUGAUUGACAUAUAUUUCACUAUUUAAGAUUAAUGAUUAUGUGUUAAUUAUUUAUCGAUUUGAUAUUUAGUAUAUAGAUGGAAAUAUAGACAAAGUCUAGACAAAAAUCUUUUCGACUUGAUUGAGAAGUGAAAGGUUAGUCCUGUAGAAUUGGUCCAUUGGUAAAUUGUCUUGGCUAUUCCGCAACACGCCCCCUGUCCCGUGCGCUUUCACCCAUUCAUCCCAAGCUUGACCUCUCAAAUUCAAACUUCCAUUUCAACCAUCCAGCGAAGGCUGGAAACCACAAUCAUUGAGUACGAGAAGGACGAUUUCAAGGAAGUGGAAACUAGACGGAAUAUAACAACAGAAAUAAACAAUAUUGAAGAUGAUCGAACAUUAUUAAAAAUUAUCAGACUGCAGGAAAGAAAAAAAGAAAGAAGCAUCAUCCAAGAAUCCGUUCGGAAUUUACCGUGAGUCGAAGCCUUCCACUGAGAAAGGAAAUCAGAAAACUCUCUAGGAAUCAUCACUAAGCCGCUCCACCAAUUAAUUAAAUAUCCCUCCACGAGAAUGAACAAUGAAGGACAACAUGAACUUAAGUUGCCCUAAAGCCCGACAAAAAGGAUAUCGAUUGUUACUAAUGGGGCAUAAACUCAAGUUGAAUGGUCAAUCUCCAGAGGGCAGCGUCCCUGACCCAAGUUGUAGUCCUAGGUUUAAAGAUCUAGAGUUUGGUUGGUUGGUUCUAAUUAUGUUUUCGGUACGAGUUUAGGUAGUGGAUGGGGGGGUCUAGGGAAAAGCACUGGACUUAAUAAGUUACAAGCAAGAUGAAGCUUAAAUAUAGGAUGAUAUAUACGAGCAUGCCUUCACCACAAACUAG